RNAcentral lists this long non-coding RNA (5095 nucleotides) under Sus scrofa (pig). RNAcentral describes it as "lncRNA (ENSSSCG00000052101.1)". Lineage: Eukaryota; Metazoa; Chordata; Mammalia; Artiodactyla; Suidae. The record is from RNAcentral.
ACUCCAAUUGGAUAGGCUCCAACUGCAAUCAUAAGUUACUUAACAAUUAUAUUUGACAAGUCUGAGUAAUUACCAUCUCAUGUAUAGCAAAAUCACAGCUCAUGUAUUCCCAAUCCACUUUGCAUGGAGUCAUUGGCCUCUGACUCCAGAAUAAAUCACUCUGCUUUUACCUUAUAUCUACACAUUUACAGCAAUGAAUCCCAGCCUUGAAUUCAGAGACCACAAAGUCUGUGCUCAAAUUCCCAGUAUCAUGACCAUGCUGUUUGAGAGGAUACAUUUCUUUUGCUUUUGUUUUUUAAUUUUUUUAAGUUUUUGUUCUCUCUUUACACUUUUUUAAUUUAAAGAUUUUUAUUUUUUUCCAAUAUAGUUGGUAUACAGUGUUCUGCCAAUUUAUACUGCACAGCAAAGUGAUUAUAUAUAUAUUCCUUACAUUAUCCUUCAUAUUGUUCCAUCAAAAGUGACUAGAUGGAGUUCCCUGUGACAGACAGAAGAAUCUCAUUGCUUAUCCACUCCAAAUGCAGUUGUUUGCAUCUAUUAACCCCAGACUCCAGUCUAUCCCAAUCCCUCCACCUCCCGCUUAGAAAUCACAAGACCAAGGUUUUCUUUUCUGUGGAAAGUUUCCCUUGUCCUGCAUAUUAGAUUCCAGAUAUAAGUGAUAUCAUAUGGUAUUUGAGUUUCUCUUUCUGACUUAAUUCACCCAGUAUGAGACUCUCUACCUCUAUCCAUGUUGCUGCAAAUGGCAUUAUUUUGCCCUUUUUAUAGCUGAGUAGUAUUAUAUAUAUAUGUCUUGGCUAUUGUGAAAAGUGCAGGUGCAUGUAAUUUUUUCAAGGAAAAAAAAUUUUUUGUCUGGAUAUAUGUUCAAGAGUGGGAUGACUGGGCCAUAUGGUAGUUUUAGAUUUAGUUUUCUGAGGUACCCCCAUACUGUAUUCCAUUGUAGUUGUACCAAUUUACAUUCCCACCAACAGUGCAAGGAGGAUUCCCUUUGCUCCACACCCUCUCCAGCAUUUAUUUGUGGACUUGUUAAUGAUGGCCAAUCUGACAGCUGUGACAUGGUACUGCAUAGUAUUUUUGAUUUGAAUUUCUCUAAUAAUUAGUGAUGUUAACCAUUUUUAUAUGUACUCAUUGGCCAUCUGUAUAUCUUCUUUGGAGAAAUGCAUUUUGCCCAUUUUUCUAUUAUUAUUAUUAAUUAUUAUCAUUUUCUGUAGAGUUGUAUAUGUUGUUUGAAUAUUUUAGAGAUUAAGCCUUUGUCAGUUGCUUCAUCUGAAACUAUAUUCUCUCAUUCCAUAGGUAGUCAUUUUUUUAUGGUUUCCGUUGUUGUCCAAAAGUUUGUCAGUUUAGAUUAUGUCCCAUUGGUUUAUUUUUGCUUUUAUUUUUUUUUGCCUUGGGAGACUAACCUAAGAAAACAUUUGUAUGGCUCUUGUCAGAGGAUGUUUUGCCUAUGUUCUCUUCUGGGAGUUUGAUGGUGUCUUGUCUUAUGUUUAAAUCUUUAAGCCACUUUUAGUUUAUUUUUGUGCAUGGUGUGAGGGUGUGUUCCAAAUUCAUUGAUUUACAAGUUGCUGUACAGUUUUCCCAGCACCAGUCUCUUUUUUCUCAUUUUAUAUUCUUGGCUUCUUUGUCAAAGAUUACUUGACUGGAGGUGUCUGAAUUUAUUUCUGCAUGCUCUAUUCUCUUCCAUCAGCCCGUAUGUCUGUUUUCAGGCCAGUGCCACACUCUCUUGAUUACUGUGGCUUUAUAAUAUUGCCUGAAGUCUGGGAAAGUUAUGCCUCCUGCUUGGUUUUUGUUCCUCUGAAUUGCUUUGUCUAUUCAGGUGUUUUAUGGUUCCACAUAAAUUUUUGAAUUGUUUAUUUUAUUUCUGUGAAAAACGCAUGGAUAAUGAUAGGCAUUACAUUGAAUUUGUAGAUUGCUUUGGGUAGUAUGACCAUUCUUUUUUAAUUUUAAUUAGUAUUAUUUUUUACCAUUUAUUUAUUUUUCUACUGUACAGCAUGGUGACCCAGUUAUACAUACAUGUAUACAUUCUUUUUUCUCACAUUAUCAUGUUCCAUCAUACGUGACUAGACAUAGUUCCCAGUGCUAUACAGCAGGAUCUCAUUGCUAAUCCAUUUUUAUGAUGUUAAUUCUUCCAACCCAGGAGCAUGGAAUAUAUUUCCAUUUCUUUGCAUCCAACGUUCGUUGAUUAAUGUUUUAUAGUUCUCAACAUAUAAGUAUUUCACCUCCUUGGUCAUGUUUUUUCCCAGACAUUUGAUUUUUGUGGGUGCAAUUUUAAGAGGUAUUUUAUUUUUGCCUUCCUUUUUAAUAUUUCAUUGUGAGUAUAUAGAAAUGCCACUGAUUUCUGAAUGUUAAUCUUGAUAAAAACAAAUAAUCAAAAUAAAUGAAAAAGGAGAAAUUUCAACAUGUACUAUAGAAAUACAAAAAAAAAAAGAGAAUUCUAUGAGCAAUUAUAUGCCAACAAAUUUGACAACCUAGAAGAGAUGGACAACUUUAUAGAGAUUACAGCCUGCCAAAACUGAAUCAAGAAGAAAUAGAUCAACUGAACAGACUGAUCACUAGAAAUGAAAUUGAAUAUGUAAUAAAAACACUCCAUACAAAAAAAAAAAAGUCCAGGAACAGAUGGCUUCACAGGAAAAUUGUAUCAAACAUACAAAAAAGAUCUUACACCAUAUUUCUUAAACUUUUCCAAAAUGUUGAAGUAGGAACACUCCCAAAGACAUUCUAUGAAGCCACCAUCACCCUAAUACCAAAAGCAGAUAAAGAUACUACCAAAGGACAAAAUUAUAGCCCAGUAUAUUUGAUGAAUAAAGAAGCAAAAAUUUUCAACAAAAUUUUAGCCAACCAAAUCCAACUACAUAUAAAAAAAUUUCAUAAACCAUGACCAAGUGGGAUUCAUCCCAGGUGCACAAGGAUGGUUCAACAUACACAAAUCAAUCAAUGUCAUACAUCACAUUAACAAAAGAAAAAUAAAAAACCACAGAUCAUCUCAAUAGAUGCAGAAAAAGAAUUUUACAAAAUCCAAUAUUCAUUCAUGAUAAAAACUCUUACCCAAGUGGGCAUAGAGGGCACAUACCAUAACAAACUAAAGCCCAUUUAUGACAAACACACUACAAAUAUUGGAGAAAAGCUGAAAGACUUCCCACUAAAAUCUAGAACCAGACAAGAAUUCCCACUCUCACCACUUUGAUUCAACAUAGUAUUGGAAGUCCUAGCCAACACAAUCAGGCAAACAAAAGAAAUUAAAAAGGUAUACAAAUUGGAAGAGAAAAGGUAAAAUUGUCACUGUAUGCAGAUGAUAUGAUACUAUAUAUAGAAAACCCUAAGGACUCCACUCAAUAAUUUCUUGAAAUGAUCGACAAAUUCAGCAUAAUGGCAGGAUACAAGAUUAACAUUCAGAAACAAUUUGCUUUUAUUCUUUCAAUCAGAGCAUGGGCACUAAACCCAUUCUGUAUUUCUUCACUGCACACAGAGGUUAAGCAUUAGCAUUUAUCAAGAUAAUAUUUAAAUUUGAGUAUGACAAUUUCAAUCAUCAUGGGUUUUCUUUCUGGUUCUGAUGACUUUUUGGCUCACUUUCAUUCGUUCUGCUUUUCUUGAGAACCCUGCCUAAUGCAGAAUUUGCUACUGAGAAUAGCUCUAGAAAGUCAGAAUUUUAAGGGUUAAUCAUCUAAAUGUGUUCUGGCAUCUCUGGUGUUGGCUACCUCAGAUGAUUCAGCAUUAGCAUUAUCUAAAGACACUAAUGAUUAUUUCUAGUAAUAUUCUAAUAGUCUUCACUGAUAGUCUGUGGCAUGGUUUUAUAAAAGAGAUAUGCAAUUAUUACAAUUGGCUUCUCAUAAUAAAGUUUAAGGAGCAAGGAUCUGAGUGGCUAGGUGUAUGAUAUUUUCAUGUAUUUUUUAUCUGGCUAAUGAAUAUAAUUAGGUUGAUUUGCCGCUUCUAAUAUCACUGGGCAAAUUAGGGAAUGGAAAGGAUAAACUAAUGGAUUCAAAUUCCCAACUUGAGAGCCAUAUAAAUGGCUUUAAAGUUUCAUUGCCUGCCCUUAUUUCCAGUAGCUGCAGAAAUGAGUUUUCUGAAAACACAACCCAGAAUCACUAAUCCUCACAGAGUGUCCUCACAGAGUAUUUAUACCAUUAAAUGAGGGCACUGAUAGUAGGGGGAAAAAAAGGAACCCUUAAAACUACAACAAAAUUAUGUGAGAAGUCCCUGAUGAAGUUGGGAAAUUGAUCCUGUAAAUUUUGCUAAGUCUACAUGGCCAAUAGAAGUAGUGUUACCAUUCUGAUCACUUUGUUGGAGAUAACUCUGAAGAUAAUGCAGAUAACUCUGCACUGGCUGAGAGAAGUGUUGUGUCCUCUUCUGAGGCUGUCAUUGUGCAAAUCAAUGUUGAUUCUCAUCAGGACCCACACACUCCACUUUUCUUUGCUUCUGGACCUAUGACUAGAUAGGAGUCCCACAAUCCAUAAAGGUGAGGCAGGAAGUAUGACCCAUGUAGAGGUACACUGCACUUUGAAACAACUGAUUUUCCAAAUUUAUAUAGACUAAUAUUGGGAACAUGUGCAGCCAUUAAGGAUGAGGGAGAGUGGCAGAACGAUCAUAAGAUCAGAUCAGUCCAAAUUGAUUGCUAGGGGCCUAUUUAGCCAAGAUCCUUCUUUCAUGUUGCAGAUGGCAGAGUUAAAAAGAAUUCUAACAGGUUUGAUUGGCUAGUCUGCUAAAACAUGGAGCAAAAAUGUGAGCUAAUUUUUAAUGGAGAACCUGCCUUGGUUUAAUGUAGGAAAAGUGACUCAAUGUCCUAGGGAGACUGGAAUGAUAGAGAGGAUUUCUCAUUUAAGGUGUAUUUACUCACAAUGGGAUUGUGCAAAAGAUGUACCUUUCACCAGCAAGGAAAGACAUAGAUUUGUAAAGGGAGAUCCAGCAUUCUUGAAAAUAUCCAUGAUUGGUCUGCUCUAUAGGCCAGAUUUUACAAAGUCUGAGGUUGCUAUACUGGGAAUUGUAAAUGCAGUGAUAUGAUUUGGAUCCCAGAGUGGCAGGAGCCACCUGGCAGCACUCAACCAUCAAAAGUUGGGUGGUCAUUGGUGUUCCCUUGUGGCUCAGCAGGUUAAGGAUCCAGUGUUGUCAC